GCCUACCAUGGUUUUAACGGGUAACGGGGAAUUAGGGUUCGAUUCCGGAGAGGGAGCCUGAGAAACGGCUACCACAUCCAAGGAAGGCAGCAGGCGCGCAAAUUACCCAAUCCCGAUACGGGGAGGUAGUGACAAUAAAUAACAAUACAGGGCUCUUAUGGGUCUUGUAAUUGGAAUGAGUACAAUUUAAAUCUCUUAACGAGGAACAAUUGGAGGGCAAGUCUGGUGCCAGCAGCCGCGGUAAUUCCAGCUCCAAUAGCGUAUAUUAAAGUUGUUGCAGUUAAAAAGCUCGUAGUUGAAUUUCGAAAUUUUUUUAUCGGUUGAAUCAACAGGUUCGUACUGAUUUUAAGAAUUUCUACCUUCUGGAGAACCUUAAUGUCAUUUAUUUGAUGUUUUGGGAAACCAGGACUGUUACCUUGAAAAAAUUAGAGUGUUUAAAGCAGGCUUAUGUCUGAAUAUAUUAGCAUGGAAUAAUGAAAUAGGACGGCAUGGUUCUAUUUUGUUGGUUUCUAGGAUCACCGUAAUGAUUAAUAGGGAUAGUUGGGGGCAUUAGUAUUCAAUUGUCAGAGGUGAAAUCCUUGGAUUUAUUGAAGACUAACUUCUGCGAAAGCAUUUGCCAAGGAUGUUUUCAUUAAUCAAGAACGAAAGUUAGGGGAUCGAAGACGAUCAGAUACCGUCGUAGUCUUAACCAUAAACUAUGCCGACUAGGAAUCGGACGAAGUUAAUUUUUUAAUGACUCGUUCGGCGCCUUACG
This 754-nucleotide ribosomal RNA is filed under the name uncultured Pacispora. RNAcentral describes it as "SSU rRNA". It matches the Rfam family "Eukaryotic small subunit ribosomal RNA", at positions 339 to 1092 of the family's 1831-position model. The record is from RNAcentral. Lineage: Eukaryota; Fungi; Glomeromycota; Glomeromycetes; Diversisporales; Pacisporaceae.